AACGAACGCUGGCGGCAGGCCUAACACAUGCAAGUCGAGCGAACCCUUCGGGGUUAGCGGCGGACGGGUUAGUAACGCGUGGGAAUAUACCCUUUGGUACGGAAUAGCCUCGGGAAACUGAGAGUAAUACCGUAUGUGCCCUUCGGGGGAAAGAUUUAUCGCCAAAGGAUUAGCCCACGUCCGAUUAGCUAGUUGGUAGGGUAAAGGCCUACCAAGGCCACGAUCGGUAGCUGGUCUGAGGGGAUGAUCAGCCACACUGGGACUGAGACACGGCCCAGACUCCUACGGGAGGCAGCAGUGGGGAAUAUUGGACAAUGGGCGCAAGCCUGAUCCAGCAAUGCCGCGUGUGUGAAGAAGGCCUGCGGGUUGUAAAGCACUUUCAGUGGGGAAGAACAGAUUCGGGUCAAUACCCCGGAGCCCUGACGUUACCCACAGAAGAAGCACCGGCUAACUCCGUG
This 458-nucleotide ribosomal RNA is filed under the name uncultured bacterium. RNAcentral's name for it is "bacterial SSU rRNA". It matches the Rfam family "Bacterial small subunit ribosomal RNA", at positions 29 to 507 of the family's 1533-position model. The record is from RNAcentral.